UCAGUUUAUUUUUGACUCUGUGAACUUGAAGUGGGUAAGGUGACUUCUUGGAGCCAGUACUGGGUUUUGUCUAUAUCUUAACUCUACUGGAUCAUCUCGGCAGAGAAGAAUAAAAUACAGGGUUGAAGUUAUCGUUGCGGAUUUUGACAUUGAUUGGAUGUACUGGAUCAUCUCUGCUGCUCAGAAGAAACAAAAUGCUAGUCUUAUGUAGUGCGGGUGUAUUAUAAAAGUUUGUGAAAAAGUGGUGUCUGUAGAUAUUUAGGAAACUGUACUGGAUCAUCUUGACUCGGAAAACUUAAAUACAGGGUUGCAGAUUUUGACAUGGAUUGGAGGAUGUACUGGAUCAUCUCUGCUGCUCAGAAGAAACAAACUGCUAGUCUAUGUAGUGCGGGUGUAUUAUAAAAGUUUGUGAAAAAGUGGUGUCUGUAGAUAUUUAGGAAACUGUACUGGAUCAUCUUGACUCGGAAAACUUAAAUACAGGGUUGCAGAUUUUGACAUGGAUUGGAGGAUGAUGUACUGGAUCAUCAAUGCUGCUCAGAAGAAACAAACUGCUUGUCUAUGCAGUGCGGGUGUAUUACAAAUGUUUGUAGAAAAGUGGUGUCUGAAGAUAUUUAAGUGAGCAUACCAUGAAAAGCCUUCCAUUUCCCUAAGUGGUUUUUUUUUUUUUUUUACUGGGAUGCCUCUAAUGGCCAAGUAGACAUAAU
Long non-coding RNA from Macrobrachium nipponense, 704 nucleotides. RefSeq lists it as uncharacterized. The record is from RefSeq and is a predicted model, not a curated record. The transcript has 7 exons. Lineage: Eukaryota; Metazoa; Arthropoda; Malacostraca; Decapoda; Palaemonidae.